Molecule: long non-coding RNA, 3032 nt
Organism: Sorex araneus (European shrew)
Lineage: Eukaryota; Metazoa; Chordata; Mammalia; Eulipotyphla; Soricidae
Exons: 4
Source: RefSeq, a predicted model, not a curated record
CUCAGUUGCAUCCCCAAAUUUUCCCGAAAGUUGCUUUUGCAGCAAAGCACUCAGGUCCCAGAGUGCUCCCGGCCCAUGACUGGCUGUUUGGGAACCAGCGGCGGGAGGCACAGGAGGCGUGAGAGCGCGCCCAGGAGACUGGGCUGCGGGGACGCCUGCCUGGUCUCAGCUGGUGACCGUCUGCAGAGCAGCUCCGGAGCCCCUGUGCCACCCUGGCCGCACAGCCGCUGCCGAAGUUGCGCUCCCUUAGGUUAAGACGGUGCCUUCUUCAGGCAUCUUCCUCUAAAGAGGGUUGUGGCAUGAAUCUGAACAACUCGCGCUCGUCCUUAGAGAAGGUUGAAUGCCAAGGCCCAAGAGGGUCGCAUUCUUGAAGGGGAAAGGAGGCACUUCCAGACACUGUCAACCCAAGAUCAGCCAACUUGCUCCAAAUUUGAGACUUCGAACUCUGUUUCGCCCAUGUGAUUUUGCGGGACCCCUCCCCAGGAGGGCAGUGAGUCAAUGCCUCACAAUUGAACGAGACUGACCCGGCCACCCAGUGUUUCCAAGGUCAACAUCACCAUUCUAUUGGCCUACCCCUGGAGCAGCUGGUUGUGAGAUUCUCUCCCCUCUCCAUUUUUCUCCUUCUUUUUCUCAAGAGUUAGAAGUUACUGACCUCUCCUGUAUCUUCUGUGAUGCGGCCUCUGCCUCCUUCGUGGCCUACCUCUCUCACAGCCGUCGCCUGGAAUGCUUCCCUCUUUUCCUCAGCCACAUUGUCUUCUGUGACAGGCCACCCCAUGUCCAGCCAUUUCAGUAUCUGGUCAGCCAGCUGCACUACCUCAAGGUCCUUCUGCGCCAUUCAGCCCUGCCAGAGCGUCCCUCUCACUGUGUUCCUCGAAUACUUGGCACUCUCCAGAAUUGGGCCUUGCGGAAUCUUUUCUACCAUGUCCGUGAGCAGGUUAUGCCCUACUUUUUUCAGUUAUCCAACCUUCGGGAUGCUCGGUCCAGGGCAAUCCACCCUACCACUGAAGGUCUUUUCAUUGGCCAUACCUUGUGGAGAAACAGCACUGAAUCUGAGCAAGGCCAGCACCAACCUCAAGUACUGGCCCCAGACACUUCUGGAGAAUAGAGAGUAAGUUUUUCAGGCAAGAUGCCCUCAAAACCUCUCCCAUUUUCUCUCUCAGAGUUGAAGAAAUAGGAAGUCCUGAGACAUUUCUCCAAACCUGCUUCUCUUGACCUCAUCCCUCCCUUUUAAAAUAUAGGAGACAGUUCUGCUGCUUCUCUUCCCUCCACCUCACCCCCUGCACUGCAGCCUCAGAAAGCUGGGGGAUAUGGAUCCAGACCAUUUAAAUAAGAGACUCCUGGUCUUUCUAUGUAACAUUUAUAAUGAAAUCCCAGUAUCAUUUAGAUAAUAGUUUUAAGGAUGGCCUUAAAAUCAGAAAAUCAGAUGGGCCAGACACAUAAUGCAAAUUGGAGAUGACUGCUGGACUAGAACCAUUACCGACUAGAUUCCACGGGACAUCAAAAGAAUGCCUGGCCACUCACUGACGAGAUGGUCAGACUUCUUCGUCAAGACCAUGAAUGAAUGAUUUGAGGCUCUUCGUGUUCCUGGAGUGAGCAGACGCCAUUGGGCUACACUAGCACAUGAAAGGGUUGAAUGGAGAUGUUACUGGCACCCACCAGAGCAAAUCAAUGAGCAACAGGAUGACAAGUGAUACAAGGAAGGGCUAGUGGGUAACUCAUGCCCAAACUGCCCUUUGGAUGGUGGGGGCAGUACUUGACUGGAAGAAAUACCCUCAUAAAAUGCAACCUUCAAUUCCUGACUUUUCCUCUUAACUGGUCCAGGGAGUCAUCAUUUACUGCAAGGGCCAUUAAAAGAUUAGCAAUCUUCUUGUCUCUCAGGGCAAUGCUUUAGAUUCAGGAAAACCCUUACCUCUGACCCCCUUCCUGAGUACCCCUAAAUACUGAGGAAGAAUGGGAAGGAAAAGUAAAAUGGUAGCGUGGGAACUGAUGGGAAAUAGAGGACAGAUAGGUAAUACCCCCAAAGGGUCCCAGUCAAAAUUGGUAAAAUACCUCCAUUAUAGUCUUGGGGAAAGAGCAACUUAUGGGCUGAUGGACAGAAUUUUCUUUGGUAAGGGGCCCCAAGGAACAAAGCAUGCAUGCCAGUCCUGCUAGAUAAGCUUAUUAAAAUACAACCUCAAGGCUGCCACCACUGGUGGAAAGGGUCCAACAAAGAAACAUUCCGGGUCAGACUGGCCUGUAGGUGUUUCUCAAGCAACUUCCUAUGGAGGAGACAAGGUAGUCCUCCUCCAGGUACCUCCACAGGAUGGGGAGAAAUGUAUCCCACCCCCAGCUCCACAAAAAAUGCAUCAGCAGUAGUGGGGUCCUCCUGAAGGAAAGCUUCCCUUACUUUGGGCUUCCCAGGUUCCUACAAAGUCUUGGUGGCCCUAUUCACUUCUCCCAGAUCACUCAGGAAAUUGAGCAGAGACAUGAUCCUGGAUAGGUAGGGACAACGCCCUGCGUCUGUCUGAAAUAGCUUCACAAGAUGGAUCUUCGUCCCAAAUUCCAGAAAGGAACUUUGGGGUAUCAUGUCUCUGGGGGAAGAGGGGGGAAAAUUAGGGACAAAUCCCUCCCAGUGUCCAGGAUGUGGCUCCACAUAGUACCAAGUUAGAGCCUGCCCAGUGCCUUCCCACAUGCUCCCCAGGACAUCCUAGUUUAUUUGGCCUGAUUGGGAGAUAUGGUGGAGCCGAAAGUCAUGGUGCACCCUGGUAAGACUGAUCCUAAACAUCACCUCUGUAAUGCCCUACCUCAUUGAAAGCUCGUGCCUGUGGACUGCAUCUCGUACAUCUAAUGGAAAACAGUUACGGAAUGGAUAGAGUCUCAAAGCACUCCAGGGGGCUUAUCUGUCUCAUGAGAGCUCAAAAGACAGAAUUAUCCUGAUAGGAACCUAUCAAAGCCAAGAAGAUGCUGGUAGUUUAGAAGCAUUCUCACUUAAGCCCCGCUGAAAGGUGGUAAAGUGUUAUGCAUGACACCCUGUCUGUUAUAACAGUACUAUA